RNAcentral lists this transfer RNA (75 nucleotides) under Corynebacterium phocae. Its description in RNAcentral is "tRNA-Gly". It matches the Rfam family "tRNA". Rfam says of the family: Transfer RNA (tRNA) molecules are approximately 80 nucleotides in length. Their secondary structure includes four short double-helical elements and three loops (D, anti-codon, and T loops). Further hydrogen bonds mediate the characteristic L-shaped molecular structure. tRNAs have two regions of fundamental functional importance: the anti-codon, which is responsible for specific mRNA codon recognition, and the 3' end, to which the tRNAs corresponding amino acid is attached (by aminoacyl-tRNA synthetases). tRNAs cope with the degeneracy of the genetic code in two manners: having more than one tRNA (with a specific anti-codon) for a particular amino acid; and 'wobble' base-pairing, i.e. permitting non-standard base-pairing at the 3rd anti-codon position. Lineage: Bacteria; Bacillati; Actinomycetota; Actinomycetes; Mycobacteriales; Corynebacteriaceae. The record is from RNAcentral.
GGGAAUGUCGUAUAAUGGCUAAUACCUCAGCUUUCCAAGCUGAAGACGCGGGUUCGAUUCCCGUCAUUCCCUCCA